CUUCAUUUCAUCACAUGGGCAUUUUAUCAUCUCAUAUCAUCAUCAGAAGUAGUGUGAUGAGUCUCUGAAUCCAGGUCUUCAGGAGCAGGCUCCACCUCCUUCACCAGAUGAGAUGUUAUAAUGGACCUCCUUGGUUUUAUUUUGUUGGGGUAGCUGUAUGUCUCUGGAUCUGGACAUUUGUUUCCUUCUCCAGGGUUUCACUGAUGCCUUCCUCUCUUUUCCCAAGCCCAGUGAGUAUCUUUAUGAUCAUUACUUUAAAUUCUCAAUUUCAGCCCUAACAGAAUAGCAAGGGCAGUCAGCUUGUCCUGGACCACAAUUCUGUGGAUUCUUGGCAUUCAGCUGGGGUUCAAAACCCAAAAUCUUAAAAGACCCAACACAGUGCAGAUCCAGAUAUGCUCCCCUCCUCCGGAGCAGAGCCCCACCACCUGCUGAUGAAAGGCUUUUGGCUUGCACCUGCAGGGUCUUUUUGUCCUUGCAGAGGCAAUAAACCAUCUUUCCAAAGUACUCUGUGAACGAUUGUUCUCCCAGUGUGCCCCGGAGAUUGCUACACCACACUAUGCACUCCAGGGCCAGCUCCUUCCUCCCCAGGAGUGCAUGCCACAUCUCCACUCAGGGGAAUGUUGUGAACCUCCAAAACCUCUGAGUUUCAGCUCCAAAGGCUGUUUUCAAAAAGAACUAGCACAUUCCAUACUUCUUGUUCCCCAGUCCAAAACCUUGUUCCCCAGGUUUUCCUGUUGUGCUAACUCAAAGCCACACUUUCACAACCCCUCUCCCUUUCUCUCCCUUUUGUCUCUCCACAGAAAGGGUUCCCUCUCCUCCAUGGUUGUGCCAUUUUAUCUCCUAUCUUCACUUCCUCACACCUCAUUCCUGUCAAGCUGUCUUGCUCCAACUGUGGAGGUCCUUCUACCCCUCCACAGAUCAACUUCUUGGGUGUUCCAAGUGAUCUGAUCCCAAUAUAGCUGUGUUUGAGGGACAAGGAAAAUCCCUGCCUCCCUACUUCUCCUCUGGAGUUUAAGCUGUAUUACAAAGCUAUAAUCAUCAAGACAGUAUGGUAUUAGCACAAAAACAGACACAUAGAUCAAUGGAAUAGAAUAGAGAACCCAGAAAUGGACCUACAAAUAUACGGCCAACUAAUUUUUAACAAAGCGGGAAAGAGUAUCUAAUGGAAAACAAGACAGUCUCUUCAGUAAAUGAUGCUGGGAGGACUGGACAUCGACAUGCAGAAGAAAGACAGUGGACCACUUUCUUACACCAUACACAAAAGUAAAUCCAAAAUUAAUGAAAGAGCUAAGAGUGAGACAGGAAACCAUCAAAAUCCUA
This is a long non-coding RNA of Felis catus (domestic cat), 1320 nucleotides long. RefSeq lists it as uncharacterized. The record is from RefSeq and is a predicted model, not a curated record. Lineage: Eukaryota; Metazoa; Chordata; Mammalia; Carnivora; Felidae. The transcript is spliced from 4 exons.